CCUACGGGUGGCAGCAGUGAGGAAUAUUGGUCAAUGGACGAGAGUCUGAACCAGCCAAGCAGCGUGAAGGAUGACUGCCCUCUGGGUUGUAAACUUCUUUUAUAUGGGAAUAAAAUGUUCCACGUGUGGGAUUAUGUAUGUACCAUAUGAAUAAGGAUCGGCUAACUCCGUGCCAGCAGCCGCGGUAAUACGGAGGAUACGAGCGUUCUCCGGAUUUAUUGGGAUGAAAGGGAGCGUAGGUGGAUUGGUAAGUCAGUUGUGAAAGUAUGCGGCUCAACCGUAAUAUUGCAGUUGGAACUGGCAGUCUUGAGGGCAGUAGGGGUAGGCGGAAUUCGUGGUGUAGCGGUGAAAUGCUUAGAUAUCACGAAGAACUCCGAUGGCGAAGGCAGCUCACUGGACUGCAACUGACACUGAGGCUCGAAAGUGUGGGUAUCAAACAGGAUUAGAUACCCUUGUAGUC
This 460-nucleotide ribosomal RNA is filed under the name uncultured bacterium. Its description in RNAcentral is "partial 16S ribosomal RNA". It matches the Rfam family "Bacterial small subunit ribosomal RNA", at positions 338 to 795 of the family's 1533-position model. The record is from RNAcentral.